This 460-nucleotide ribosomal RNA is filed under the name uncultured bacterium. RNAcentral describes it as "partial 16S ribosomal RNA". It matches the Rfam family "Bacterial small subunit ribosomal RNA", at positions 338 to 795 of the family's 1533-position model. The record is from RNAcentral.
CCUACGGGUGGCAGCAGUGAGGAAUAUUGGUCAAUGGGCGCGAGCCUGAACCAGCCAAGUCGCGUGAGGGAUGAAGGUUCUAUGGAUCGUAAACCUCUUUUAUAAGGGAAUAAAGUGUGGGACGUGUCCUAUUUUGUAUGUACCUUAUGAAUAAGGAUCGGCUAACUCCGUGCCAGCAGCCGCGGUAAUACGGAGGAUCCGAGCGUUAUCCGGAUUUAUUGGGUUUAAAGGGUGCGUAGGCGGCCUUUUAAGUCAGCAGUGCAAGUCUGUGGCUCCACCAUAGAAUUGCCGUUGAAACUGGGGGGCUUGAGUAUGUUUGAGGCAGGCGGACUGCGUGGUGUAGCGGUGAACUGCUUAGAUCUCACGCAGAACCCCGAUUGCGACGGCAGCCUGCCAGGCCAUGACUGCCGCUGAUGCACGAAAGCGUGGGGAUCAAACAGGAUUAGAUACCCGGGUAGUC